UACAGAGGUCUCAAGCGUUGUUCGGAUUCAUUGGGCGUAAAGGGUGCGUAGGCGGCGCGGUAAGUCGGGGGUGAAAUCUCGGAGCUUAACUCCGAAACUGCAUUUGAUACUGCCGUGCUUGAGGACUGGAGAGGAGACUGGAAUUUACGGUGUAGCGGUGAAAUGCGUAGAUAUCUGGAGGAACACCGGUGGCGAAGGCGGCAUCCUGGACCAACACUGACACUGAGGAGCGAAAGCCAGGGGAGCAAACGGG
This 253-nucleotide ribosomal RNA is filed under the name uncultured bacterium. RNAcentral's name for it is "partial 16S ribosomal RNA". It matches the Rfam family "Bacterial small subunit ribosomal RNA", at positions 524 to 776 of the family's 1533-position model. The record is from RNAcentral.